AAAAAAACAAAAUUAAAUUAAAUUAAAUUAAAUUAAAAGUGGGAUAAAUUAGGGGGAUAGUAACUACUUGGAAGGAUAAUCUAAAUAAGGUGAACACACUGGCUGUGGCUCUCCCCAGGGACAGACUUAGGGUAUCAGAUCCCUGAAGCUGACAGUAGAGUAGAGCAGCUUGCAUAAGUGACCCAUCAGUGAGCAGAAAAGUUAAGGACAUCACAGACUAGCAGAAUACUGAGUAGUUGGACAAGUAUUACUCUGAAGCAUUCCUGUUCAUUCUCUCCAUAAAAAUGACACUGCUCAAAUGCCUUUAGUGUGAGGACAGAAUUUAAUAUGCUUAAUUGUUAUAAAAAGGGUGAUCAGAUGGUAUUCCUGCCAUUUUGUUAUUUUUCUUUCCCAUGGAUGUUUAUUUUCCAAUAAACAUGCACUUGAAUGCUUAAAAGACAUAACACAUUUUAAAGACAGGUUUAGCAAUUGAGAAAACAGUCCAUUAAUGACUUACAGAUGACUCAAGAGCUUUGAAACCUCAUCAGAGCUUCAUUGGAUUUAUGAGUACAUUAAAUACUUAAAAAUGAAGAAAUAUUGCAAACUUUAAAUUAAAGCAUAAAUAAUAUAAAACAGAUGUUUGUCCUAGUGUGGCCCUCAUAACAUGGACCUCUGUGUCCGUCAGCUUUGCAUUACUGUUACAAAAUACCUAAGGGAAGCAAUGCAAAGAGGGAAGUUUACUUUGGCACAGGUUUAAGGAAUUCAGUCAAUGAUCCUUGGCACUGUUGCUUUUGUGCUUGUGGCAAAGCAACACAUCAUGCUUGGAAUGGCUAGGGUAUCAAAAAGAGAGUAGAAAUGAUCAGACCUCCCUCAUCCACCAUUAGGGCAUGACUUUAGUGACCUUUAACCUUCCAUUAACUACUAUCUCUACUUUUUCACCACUUCCUUACAUCGCUAUUGGUUGGAGACUGAUCCUUGAACUUGUGAGUCUUCAAGAUAUUCUUAUCUAGUCCAUCAGAACCCCAAAUAAUAAACUCAUUAUUGAGUAUGAAACUAAUGGUGGCUGAGUCCUUAAAUAAUACAGCAUCAUGAUUUCCCUGAAUUCGACCAGAAUGGUUAACUAGCUGAGUUAGUAGUUAUGUGUGGUACUCAUCUCUUCAUCUGGGGAAAUAUUUGGGCAUAAACUAUAAAAAAGAAAAGAAGAUGUGGAAUGGCAGUAAAGUUUCAAUAUAUGAUAUAGAAAAUUAAAUAACCCCCAAAUAGCAAAGUUUUUGAUGUCAGAAAUUCAGGGAAUCUCAAUUGCCAAAGAAGAGUCCUUUUUAUAAAAUUUAACAGUUUUAUGUGAAACCCAACUCUUAAGCAACAUUUUAUAAUGCCAAAUCCAAAUUUUUCUACAAUUUUAGAAUUUGACCCUGUUGUUCAUGAUAAGUAAAUUACAUAAUAUUCUGUUUAUAAAUAAAUCUCUACAAGGGCUGUCUAUUAUAAUAACAUAAUUUUGUUUUAAAGGAUUUUUCCAGUUUGUGUGGGGGACUCAAUCAAAAGAUCCAUAGUUCGUGAAUAUAUGUUAUUAAAAACUGUCUAUGUGAUUCUUUUCACAUAGAAAUCUGAAAAGCAAUGAUUUAUGUUCUGAAUCAUCAAGAAACAUUUGUAAUGGUAUUGUUUAUUUAGUAGUAUUGCUAUUUAUUUGAUGUCAUACACCAUAUACAAUAUAGGAAAUAGAAGGCAGCUAUGCUCACCACUGUACCAUCACUGCAGGCAUAUAAUACAGGAAAUGGAGCUGGGUCAAUGUAUCAGUCUAGAAUCAGAGUGUAUGAGAGCUAUACAUCUCAUUUUGGUAAGAUAACGGGAGAAAGCAAAGCUGGAAAAUCAUCAGUUUAUUGAGAUAAGAAAAGAAGAGAGAGAUUCUGGUGUAGAUGGAAGAAUACUAGAGGCAGUGGCUUGUGCAGCCACUGCUGGGUGCAGAUAGGAUUACACAAAAAUGCUAAGAGAAAAGCCUUACCUUUGAAGCUAGCUUCUUCAAGCAGGAUUCCUGAUCCUAAAUUUGUGCCAUGGACCAGUGGUGGGAGGCCCUCACUUCCUGAGGUCAAAGUGUGUAUGACCCCAUGCCCCAAGGUUCCCAGAGGAAGAGGGAAACCUACUGCCACAGCCUGCCCUGUGGGGCCCCUGAGCCCCUGAGCCGCAGCAGAGCAGCUUGCAUAUGCUAGCGCCAUCCUGGCGCUCUUGGGGUUUCUCUUGGCACUCCCGAGAUGAUAAAGACAGAUCCAGUUAAAGAAAAACCUCUAAAGGUUUACACUACAUUUAAAAAUAUAUGUAGGCUUGUGAGAGAAAAAGUAACAGGAGGAAAUAGAGUAGCCGGUUGUGGUGGUGCACGCCUGUAGGAUUUGCUGAAGGAAGCAGAGGCAGGCGGAUUUCCACAGAGAAACCCUAUCUCGGGGAAAAAAGAAACAAAAGAAAGUAAAAAUAAAGUAAUAAAAAAGCCACAUAAAGACGGAAAAUACACAGAGAAUCUGGAUACUAUAUGUCAUAUUGUUGUCUUUAAAUUGUUUGAUUUCCGAGGAAAGAAUUACUGCUGCUAAAAUACAUUUGAUUAUAAAUGCUGCUAAAUCAAUCCAACUUAACAUUUUAAAAAUACUUUGACUUCAAAAUUUAAGUCUAAGGACAGGCUACUUGGAAAAAGAAUUUCUAUUUGUGUUUCUACAGAAAAUAAAAAGUUAUGGAUUCCUUCCAGACGAAUAUGGUUUGAUCAAGCAAGACCCCCUGAAGCUGAGCUGAUAAAGCCUUACAGCUACAAAAACAAGGACUUGGCCAGAUUUCUAUGUUUUAUCAUGAUUCCAAUGGGUUUAUCUUGGCAGUGAGACACAACUGCUCCUGGCACACCAAUUAUGUCAGAAAGGAGGAUGGCCAUCGAAGAAACUCGUUAUGGAGUUUGCUUUCAACAUGGCAAGAUUAGCCAUUUGGGCAAGAAACUGCUCUUGUCUGGACUGUUUGUUGCUGUAUAAACUGGACAUACAGGACCCACAAGAAAGGGACUGCUGAACUUACAAAACAAGACAGUACUGAAGGGUUCCUGUUGAAAUGGAGAAGUGUGCCAGACACUGUGGCCUAAAGACUGAAGAUGGAUGCCCCAACGUUACAGAGGAACUUGGGUGACUGUCCAGGUAGCGAGAUGUGUCUGUCAAUUCUAGAACAUAUCUAUAUGUUCUGUGGUUUUUGAUAGAGUUGAAGGCAGAUAGUUAUGGUUAUAGUUUUCUUCAGUUAUUAUAAAGAUAAGUUAUCUUUCUUUUUAUUGAGACAGAAAAGAGGAGAUGAUGGGGAAUGUACUGUGUAUGUUCAUCUUAUUGAUUAUUGAAUAAAGUACGUGUUUGGCCAAUGAGACAGCAAGUUAGAUGGGACUAGGAGUCAAAGAGGAUUCUGGGAAAUGUAGUAGAGAAAUGAUGUUCCAGGCAGUAAGUGACAUAGCAAGGAGACUCAUAUUUUAAAAAGGAGAAACAGGAAGUGUGCUUUUUCCCCUUUGCCUCCUCCAGCGGCGGGAUGUGAGCCACCGGCAAGAGAGGGUGCCAGCAAAAGGCAUCCUCUAUAAGAUAAGUCUUAUAAAAUAUAUAGAUUUAUGAUAAUUAAGACUGAACUAGCAGAUGAGAUUCCUAGUCAUUGGCCAAGCAGCAUUGUACCAAAUACAAGUCUCUCUGUGUACUAAUUUGGGC
Molecule: long non-coding RNA, 3680 nt
Filed under: Cricetulus griseus (Chinese hamster)
Lineage: Eukaryota; Metazoa; Chordata; Mammalia; Rodentia; Cricetidae
Description: lncRNA (ENSCGRG00015038195.1)
Source: RNAcentral